RNAcentral lists this ribosomal RNA (250 nucleotides) under uncultured bacterium. RNAcentral's name for it is "partial 16S ribosomal RNA". It matches the Rfam family "Bacterial small subunit ribosomal RNA", at positions 524 to 772 of the family's 1533-position model. RNAcentral also lists the same sequence under 2 other names. The record is from RNAcentral.
CACGUAGGGGGCGAGCGUUGUCCGGAUUUAUUGGGCGUAAAGAGCUCGUAGGCGGUUUGGCAAGUCGGGUGUGAAAUUUCGAGGCUCAACCUCGAAACGCCACUCGAUACUGCCAUGACUGGAGUCCGGUAGAGGAGUGCGGAAUUCCUGGUGUAGCGGUGAAAUGCGCAGAUAUCAGGAGGAACACCAACGGCGAAGGCAGCACUCUGGGCCGGUACUGACGCUGAGGAGCGAAAGCGUGGGGAGCAAA